CCUUUCCGGCGGUGACGACCUCCCUACGAGAACAUGCCUGUGAGUUCCUUGGUCCAGGUUUCGACAGAGAACUCGCUCUUGGGUCCGCACGGUCCUCUUGCGCUAAUUGCGGGUCCUACAGGGUCCACAUGUGCGCUCUGCGUCUCUUAGGACAGUAACCAGAGCCGCGGCGGCCCACGGGUCAGCCGCGUAGACGGGAGCGGAGAGGAGAUAAGAUGGCGGCCCAGCUACGCAGACACCAGGGGCGGCGAGGGGCGAGUUCUCCUCGCUCGCAAAGGAUCUCCUUCAUCCCUCUCCAGAAGAGGAGAAGAGGAAACACAAGAAAAAGCGCCUGGUGCAGAGCCCCAAUUCCUACUUUAUGGACGUGAAAUGCCCAGGAUGCUAUAAAAUCACCACGGUCUUUAGCCAUGCACAAACGGUAGUCUUGUGUGUUGGCUGCUCCACUGUCCUCUGUCAGCCUACAGGUGGAAAAGCAAGGCUGACAGAAGGAUGCUCCUUCAGGAGGAAGCAGCACUGAAAGCCCCUGAUUGAAGAUGAGUGGGAACCUUCCCAAUAAACACGUUUUGGAUAUAUAA
Molecule: RNA transcript, 575 nt
Organism: Mus musculus (house mouse)
Lineage: Eukaryota; Metazoa; Chordata; Mammalia; Rodentia; Muridae
Gene: Rps27
Gene name: ribosomal protein S27
Exons: 4
Source: RefSeq, marked validated